Molecule: non-coding RNA, 1473 nt
Organism: Podarcis muralis (Common wall lizard)
Lineage: Eukaryota; Metazoa; Chordata; Lepidosauria; Squamata; Lacertidae
Source: RefSeq, a predicted model, not a curated record
GAAAAGGGGAGCCCCGCGUGAGCUCCUUCCCGGUUCCAGGCCGGGCGGGCGAGCUCGGGCGUCCCCGCCUGGCGCUCUCCCGCGCUGCAUGGCGCUGCAGCUCAGCCUGCCUUGCAAGAGGGAGCUCGAGUCCCGAUCUUGAGCUCGCAGCGCCUCUCACUCCGCAGCGCGCACAGCGAGGCGGCGGCCGGCGGGAGCAGGCGGGCAGGGACGGGCAGCGCGGACACGCAGGACCAUCGGGGGAAAGGACGCGGACGGAGCAGGCCGGGGACGGCCCGGCCUGGUUCCGGCAGAGGCGCUGCACUGGGAGGCCGAUGGGCGGCAGUACCAGGCCGGCAUCAGGGCGAUGGGGACGGUAGAGGGAGACAAAGCCCCGCUCCCCAUCGGCGGCGCCGCGGCGGGUCCCAGCCCGAGCCCCAUCGUGACACCUAGAGGCCGGAGAAAGCGACUGCAAACCCCCCGCGCUGCUUACCUGUCCCGGAGGCGCCUCCGGGCCGCCCCUGCUGCCCCGGGCCCCGCCCCGCUCGGGCCCUGCGGAGCUCCUACUGCCGCUGCCCCGCCGCUAGCGGCCGCCGCCAGCGCCCAGCACCAGCUCGCGGUUUAAUCGUUCCACAGUCGCCUCGGACACAAAAUGGCGGCCGAGAGGAACAGUGCGCCUGCGCCAGCCCGGCAGCCGCGGCCGCCGAAGCCGAGCGAAGGGAGGAGGGAGCGGGAGAAGCGGCCGCGCGGAGCACCAUGGGAGGAGCCGCUGGGCGCCAACUUCAAAUAGAGGACCUAGAAGGGCCGCGGCGGACGUGAGGGCGGGUGGCGCUGUGACGUCACGCGCGGCCUGGGCCGAGGGUGCAGAGCACUUGCACGUUGCAAGCGCGGGCAAAGGGAUUGGUUCCGCGGUGUGGCGCCCUCUUGAGGUGACGUUGGCCCUGUUGCCACCUGCCGGGAAAGGAAAACCUCUGUCAACGGGUAUAAUCAGGAGCAAAUUGGUGCAAACGUGUCCAGAAGCAAAAUAGACGAGCUUGGAUAUGAAGGACAAGGAUGACUUGUUGCCUGUGGUCUUCAGCGUUCCCCUUUCACUUCUGGAAAGAAGCUCAGUCCAUCUUCCUUUUUAUUUCACCACCUGUAAAACCACUGAAAAACUUCAAUGCUGUACUUUGUUGACUUGAGUUACUUACCUAAGGUGUUUUUGACCACUUGAGGUUUCACAACACCUCGCUCCUUCCCAGUUUGGUUAGGGAAACUCCACAGCAGCAGUCACAAAAUGAUGUACACCCAACUCACUUGCUCAAACUUCUUUUUAUUUCAGGCUUAAAGUCAAAAUUAGCCAAACCUCUUGAUAAUUACAUUAUAUAUAUUUAUAUAUCUAUGUAGAUAUACAGAUAAAAUUAUAGCGAUUUUAUAGAAAAGACUUUUUGCUUUUGUCUGCAACCUCCCCCCCCCAAAAAAUGUGUAAAUAAAAAUAAUAAAAUAGCCAAAGAA